GGACCGCUGAGGAGUCCCACAAUAGGACGAAAUGGCCAUCUAGUAC
RNAcentral lists this non-coding RNA (46 nucleotides) under Schistosoma mansoni. Lineage: Eukaryota; Metazoa; Platyhelminthes; Trematoda; Strigeidida; Schistosomatidae. The record is from RNAcentral.